Molecule: ribosomal RNA, 496 nt
Filed under: uncultured bacterium
Lineage: Bacteria
Description: partial 16S ribosomal RNA
Rfam family: Bacterial small subunit ribosomal RNA
Source: RNAcentral
GAUGAACGCUGGCGGCGUGCCUAAUACAUGCAAGUCGAGCGAACAGACGAGGAGCUUGCUCCUUUGACGUUAGCGGCGGACGGGUGAGUAACACGUGGAUAACCUACCUAUAAGACUGGGAUAACUUCGGGAAACCGGAGCUAAUACCGGAUAACAUGUUGAACCGCAUGGUUCAACAGUGAAAGACGGUCUUGCUGUCACUUAUAGAUGGAUCCGCGCCGCAUUAGCUAGUUGGUAAGGUAACGGCUUACCAAGGCAACGAUGCGUAGCCGACCUGAGAGGGGGAUCGGCCACACUGGAACUGGGACACGGUCCAGGCUCCUACGGGAGGCAGCAGUAGGGAAUCUUCCGCAAUGGGCGAAAGCCUGACGGAGCAACGCCGCGUGAGUGAAGAAGGUCUUCGGAUCGUAAAACUCUGUUAUUAGGGAAGAACAAAUGUGUAAGUAACUAUGCACGUCUUGACGGUACCUAAUCAGAAAGCCACGGCUAACUACGU